RNAcentral lists this ribosomal RNA (264 nucleotides) under uncultured bacterium. RNAcentral describes it as "partial 16S ribosomal RNA". It matches the Rfam family "Bacterial small subunit ribosomal RNA", at positions 86 to 354 of the family's 1533-position model. The record is from RNAcentral.
CGGCAUGGAGUGGCGGACGGGUGAGUAACGCGUGGGCAACCUGCCCUGUACAGGGGGACAACACUUAGAAAUAGGUGCUAAUACCGCAUAACGGGGGAGCCGCAUGGCACCCCCUGAAAACUCCGGUGGUACAGGAUGGGCCCGCGUCUGAUUAGCUGGUUGGCAGGGUAACGGCCUACCAAGGCGACGAUCAGUAGCCGGCCUGAGAGGGCGGACGGCCACAUUGGGACUGAGACACGGCCAAACUCCUACGGAAGGCAGCAG